This 76-nucleotide transfer RNA is filed under the name Deltaproteobacteria bacterium. RNAcentral's name for it is "tRNA-Ala". It matches the Rfam family "tRNA". Rfam says of the family: Transfer RNA (tRNA) molecules are approximately 80 nucleotides in length. Their secondary structure includes four short double-helical elements and three loops (D, anti-codon, and T loops). The record is from RNAcentral. Lineage: Bacteria; Pseudomonadati; Myxococcota; Myxococcia. RNAcentral also lists the same sequence under 1 other name.
GGGGCCGUAGCUCAGCUGGGAGAGCGCCAGCUUUGCAAGCUGGAUGUCGUCGGUUCGAUCCCGAUCGGCUCCACCA